UACAAGUUUUUUAUUAACAUAUCAAAAUAUUUACACUUAUAUUAAGACUUUUUCGAUACAACAAUAAAUAUUUUAGUACGUAAUAAUAUUAAUGAUUAAUAUACUUAACUGUAGCUGCGAUUUGAAUACUUUAAUCAGAAUUUAUCGCGAUUUGUACAUAAUAUUUGUUUAUGUUCGAAUAUAAUAUUAAUACUUGGUAUAUAACUAGUAAUUGUAUUGAAAAAUUGAUAUUGUUAUGGUUCUUUAGUCUACUCACAACAAGGCAAAUUAUGGCAGUUGACUUUGCUACCCGUAAUUUGGUCACAUUACAUUUUUAUGACAACAUUAAAUGCUAUAUAACUGAGGAAUAAAUUUUAAUGUUCAACUAAUGUUAACAAUUUAGGUUACAUUAUAUACCUAACAUAUAAAUAUUUUGAACAUGUAAUUGUUGAGUCAUAGGCAGUGCUCAGACGGUCAAUAUUCGUGAUCUAUAUUUAUUGAUGUAAAACUCGAUAACAACUAAAAAUGCGGUGCUAAAUUAAAUAUUGAGAACGCACGAUAUUGAAUGCACCCAUAUAACAUUGCCUAUCAACUGGUUACAAAAAAAUAUAAACAAGUAAGUAUCUAAGCAAACUAACUGGUAUAAUCAAAAUUUAAAAAAAAAAAACCUCCAAAUUAACUUAAUUUCUUAUGGUUUGGCUCCACUGUAGGCAUUCGGCAAAUAGCCGGCGGCACUGGUAUCGUCCCGCACAUUCGCGCUAACCUGAUUGGUUGGCGUGAAUAUAUGUUUUUUAAAAUCCCGCGGGCAUUCUUUAUUUUUAAGAGAUAAGUAGGUAUAUCUAAUACACCACAAGAAGGCCUGCCUGUCACGCUUAAGUCGCAUCUGCACUAUGCCGGCGCGGCCGGCUGAUUUGCCAAACCUAUUUAAAAAUUCGCACUAUCCUGCAUAGUGUGGCCAGUUGAUUUGCCGAAUGCCGAACUAUAGUAAAAUUUGCCCGAACUGGUCUAGUCCGGUGGGAGGCUCCGGCCGUGGCAACUUACCACGCUACCGUCAAAGCCGUGCCGCUAAGGGAAAGGGGGUAUGGGCUUUCAUAAAAAACUGCCAUACCCCAUCCAGGUUAGCCCGCGCGGCAGUGACGUACGCGCGUCGCGGCUGGAGUGAAUAUCGUGCGUGGCGCUGUCGCGACGCGCAGUUCCGCUGCAGUGCAGUUGUGGUGCGUGGGCACCUUUAUCGUAAUUGACAGCCAAUCCUGCCCUUUGAUUGGUUGAUUCGCCGAUUACAUUUUUUCACAGCCAAUCAAGAGGCAGCAUUCGCUGCAGGUGUGGUUCCUACCAUUAACAGUUUUAUAUGUAGGUUAGUAUAAGUCGAAACUUAAUUAUAAUAAAAAAUACUUGUAUGAUAAGUAUAAAGUAAAUAAUACAUAGUUGACACUUGUUCUUAAAAUGACUAAAAACAAUAUCACACAAAACACUUUAUAAAGUCGUUUUAGAACAGAACAGUUUUAGAAACAGGAGCUUUGCUAGAACGAGAUCCAUAUAAAAUAUUAAACAGCAGCAUCUUGCUCGCCAAAAUAUAAUUUUUUUAUUUUUAUUUCUAAGGUUGAGAUUUAUAGUGCACUUUGACUUUGCACAGUUUAAACGAGACAGCAUUAUAUCGCUGGCAUAAAUCUGUCUCGUUUUAACUGAAACUUAAGUCUGAGCAAAGUCAAAGUACGGUCUAUAGAUCUCGGGUAAGAUUCCAUGUGCGUACUACGUACAUGCUCGAAGGUUCUAGGGUGUAACCACAUCCAUUCUAUCAACGUCGAUCGAUAGUAGAACGAAAUCAAAUCGGAUUCAUCUUUGAUCGACAAUUACAAAAAAAACUUAACUCUUAAGUUUCGCGUGGCGAUUUCCUUCGCCGAAAUUUCGCCAAUUGAUUUAUUAAAAAGUAUUCGUCGAUCAGUCAAGGAUGUGGAAAACCAGUCAAUGUCGAGCAAAAAAUACUUUUAAUGGUGAUAGUUAGUGAUGGAUAGCCUAAAUGACAAUCAUUUUCUGAAAGCAAGUCUGAACGUUUGUUUGAUAAUAAUUUUUCACAAGCAUCAUGACGAAAAAAGGAGAAUUACACACCAACAUAAAAAUUAAUUUACUAAAUCCCAUUAACUUGCAGUGGUAAAGUGUCCGACUCGCACUUGACCGGUUUUGCUUACAAUUUUGUCUAGUUUCAUACUAAUCUUCUACAUACAUAGCUACAUACAUAGCUGUUUCAUACAUUUGAUUUUAUACAGGUGUAAACAGAACGCUAGUAACGUAAAACUUAGCCUUAUUAUUAUACUACAUCAACACAAUCCUAUUCUAAUAAGUAAUAACCAUUUGCCUUAUCUUGUAGUUUUAGUGAUUUAGUAUUUUUCAAACCCGCAUUGUAUAACGUGCAAAACUCGGGCCAAUGUCCCACCUACAACGGUGCAUUGACUUCGAAUGACCUAUUUACGGAACGUUCGAUGACCUCUAGCGUCAGUCAGAUGUUUUAUUUGCAACAUAUUGUGAACUUUAAAAAAACAUAAUUUAAAAAAAAAUCGUAGUUUUUUCUAUGGUAUCUUAUCAGUAAUCAUCAGUACUAUCACCUGUUUUCGUUUUGGCUAGCGUUUUGGUUACACCUAUAUUUAAUGUUACACAGACAUUCAAUCACGCAUGCACGAGCAACGUGUAACAACGUGAAAGUUGUGCAAGCUAUCACAAAAUGAUUGUUCACACAAGUUUGUCAAACUUGCGGUGUAUAGUCACCAUUACAAGCAUUACUCAGGCUGAGAUCUAUAGACUUACGUACUUUGACUUUGCUUAGACUUAAGUUCGGUUAAAACGGGAUAGAUUGGUGUCAGAGGUAUAACGCUGUCUCGUUUUAACAGAGUCUUAAGUCUGAGCAAAGUCAAAGUACGCUCUAUAAAUCUCGGCCUUAGUGAUAACAUUCAAUUUAAUAAAAAUAAAGUAUCUUCGUUUAUCAACAGGUUACUAAAUUGGCUCUUAUGUCUGGUAUCGGGGAGCGAUUCCUGUUAGUGAGAUUUAAAAAUGUUCAUUAAAAUAUGGAUAGUUUUGUAAGUAAAGUUAUAGGAUGCAAUUAGACAGUGCAAAUCAAACUUCGUAAAAAUUAGAAACCAAAAUUAUAAGGUUUAAAAGAUUAAGGGCUGAUUUUUCAAUUGUCAAGUAAUUUGACGUUUUGACAGUAAAAUGUUACUU
Molecule: long non-coding RNA, 3189 nt
Organism: Maniola jurtina (meadow brown)
Lineage: Eukaryota; Metazoa; Arthropoda; Insecta; Lepidoptera; Nymphalidae
Exons: 2
Source: RefSeq, a predicted model, not a curated record